UGGGGAAUAUUUCACAAUGGGCGCAAGCCUGAUGCAGCCAUGCCGCGUGUAUGAAGAAGGCCUUCGGGUUGUAAAGUACUUUCAGCGGGGAGGAAGGGAGUAAAGUUAAUACCUUUGCUCAUUGACGUUACCCGCAGAAGAAGCACCGGCUAACUCCGUGCCCGCAGCCGCGGUAAUACGGAGGGUGCAAGCGUUAAUCGGAAUUACUGGGCGUAAAGCGCACGCAGGCGGUUUGUUAAGUCAGAUGUGAAAUCCCCGGGCUCAACCUGGGAACUGCAUCUGAUACUGGCAAGCUUGAGUCUCGUAGAGGGGGGUAGAAUUCCAGGUGUAGCGGUGAAAUGCGUAGAGAUCUGGAGGAAUACCGGUGGCGAAUGCGGCCCCCUGGACGAAGACUGACGCUCAGGUGCGAAAGCGUGGGGAGCAAACAGG
RNAcentral lists this ribosomal RNA (429 nucleotides) under Chloroflexota bacterium. RNAcentral describes it as "Chloroflexi bacterium partial 16S ribosomal RNA". It matches the Rfam family "Bacterial small subunit ribosomal RNA", at positions 355 to 776 of the family's 1533-position model. Lineage: Bacteria; Bacillati; Chloroflexota. The record is from RNAcentral.